GCAAUGGAUGUUCCGAUGGGUGGCGGGGACAGGCCUGUGAGUUGCACUGCUCUGAAAACUGUCUAAGAUGUCAACAGAAAAGUGGAAACUGCACAGCAUGUCGCCAAGGGUUCGAGUAUGAUGGACGAAGUCAAUGUACCGCUAUGAUCCAUGUCACUACCAGCGAGGUCCCGAUUCCAGAGCAAGAUUCCAAAGUUGCUAUUGUGGUUAUUUCCAUCAUAGUUGCUCUCACCAUAGUUGCAGCAGUCUUUAUUGGGAUCUAUAUCAGUUGUAGGAGACGAAUGCAUCCUCAGGAGACUUGCAGGGACAAGUGGUGCAUAAAUUGGAGAGGAAUGGCUUGCUGGGGUAAGAGGAUACAUGGAUCCCGUCACAAUGCCUCGCAAGUUGGAGGAACAGCAAGACUUACAGAUGUCCCUUGCAGUACAGAAGAAUGAUUCCAAAUCCGCCAUCUCUGUGCAAACAUCCAAGUCCAUACAGACCACAACAUGUAUUGCAUCCAAACAAUUUCGACCAGAAAGCAUACCAGCCAAGGAAACUUCUAAAAGCCAUCCACGUCAAAAGACUCCAACCUGUCAUGAACAGAGAUCGUGGUUAUUACCUUCCAACACCUUCCAACACCUUUCACUACAUACAUGCAUUAUAUAUACUCUUCAAAAAAGUAGGGGAACUCCAUUUUUAAUUCACCAUUGAUAAUAAUGAAUGUUUUGAGAGUGCAUCACCACUUGCACUUCCUUAUAACCAUAGGGAAACUAGUUGGUUGUACACAAAUCGCUCUUGAAAGAUGAUUGGUGUAUGACGUCAAAUUUGUAUGUGUACGAUUUACAUUUUCAAACCAUAAAAACGGUUAGAACAAUCACUAACAACUGUGCGAUGCAAGAUGAUUGUCGAAAGUUAAUGGUCUACGGUCAUUUAUCGACCUUCUUGAAAACCGUCAAAAUCAAGAAUGACACCCCAUGCACGUGUAUGGGGCUACUGCGCUGUGCACGUGCAUCCCAUGCGUUCUGUUUAGGGGUGGUGAUAAAGAAAAGUGAAGGUGCGUUCAUAAGAUGUCUGUCUUUGAAAAGUUUGUUAACGCUUAUAAUUCCUAUUCAAAUUGAAAUCUCAGAUAUCCUACUUUUUUAAGAAUAUAUAUAUUUUUAAUCUUCCCACUUCUGUACAUCACAUGCUUCAUAAUCGCGUUAGUAUCUACACGCAUAUUUCUCAUUCGUUUACAUGUAAGUUGCACAAUCUGAGAACAAUCCCCCUUCUUCAUCACACCAUCAUGGCUUCAGUUGUGUGUAGCGUGAACUGUUCCUAGAUUGGCGCCAAAACAACUUUUAUUCCUCGAUACGAAGAAAACCAAACAGAUGGUGAUAGUCAAAAAAGAAUAUACAGCAAAUACCAAUAACUGUUACAAAAUAAUACCAACAAAUACUGCACCGUUUACGUAAACUGAGGUCCUUUAUUGUUAGCAGUUUUAUUCUUGUUUUGUUUUAUUCAAAAACAUCCGAGUCAGCAUACAUUGUCAAUGCCUAUAACUCUUUAAAUCAAUAGGCUUAAAUGCUAAAUGUGUUUGCCCCAUGUACAACAAUCUCAUGCUAUGGUAUCUCAUCACAGCAUCUGAUGUCAUAUUUAUUGCCAUAGACUUAAAUCAGGAAUAAUCUGUAUAGUUAUGUUUUCGUUGAAAAAGUAAUAUAUGAGUUCUAACUAACUAAACACUAAAGCUGUCCUGUCAUGUUUGGUUCAUGGAUAUCGUCAAAAUGAUCUUCAGCAAUCACGUGUGCCAUUCAAUAAACACUUGCUCGUUCACAUACACAGUCAGUGCCCUCCAGAAAUUAUCACUUACACAUCUGAUUGACUUUGUUUUGUGAUAUAUGUGACUUCGUUGUAUUUCUUGUUGUUAUUUCUUUGGUUUUUUAUUGUUUCCCUUAUGUUAUAUCAUGUAUGAUAUAUAAUCUAUUUGGCAGUCCCAUCUAUUUGGUGUGUCGAAGAUUAUACAUAUACUUCACUUUCCAAAUAAGUUAAAGUGAUGGGUCAUGUAAAAUGCAAUUUCAAUGCGCUGUAAUUAUA
Molecule: long non-coding RNA, 2049 nt
Organism: Haliotis rubra (blacklip abalone)
Lineage: Eukaryota; Metazoa; Mollusca; Gastropoda; Lepetellida; Haliotidae
Exons: 5
Source: RefSeq, a predicted model, not a curated record